This 539-nucleotide ribosomal RNA is filed under the name uncultured archaeon. Its description in RNAcentral is "bacterial SSU rRNA". It matches the Rfam family "Archaeal small subunit ribosomal RNA", at positions 460 to 997 of the family's 1478-position model. The record is from RNAcentral.
AGCCGCCGCGGUAAUACCGGCGGCUCGAGUGGUGGCCACUUUAUUGGGCUUAAAGCGUUCGUAGCUGGGUUGUUAAGUCUCUUGGGAAAUCCGGCAGCUUAACUGUCGGGCGUCUAAGGGAUACUGGUAAUCUUGGAACCGGGAGAGGUGAGGGGGUACUUCGGGGGUAGGAGUGAAAUCCUGUAAUCCUCGAGGGACCACCUGUGGCGAAGGCGCCUCACCAGAACGGCUUCGACAGUGAGGGACGAAAGCUGGGGGAGCAAACCGGAUUAGAUACCCGGGUAGUCCCAGCCGUAAACGAUGCGCGUUAGGUGUAUCGGUGACCACGAGUCACCGAGGUGCCGAAGGGAAACCGUGAAACGUGCCGCCUGGGAAGUACGGUCGCAAGGCUGAAACUUAAAGGAAUUGGCGGGGGAGCACCACAACAGGUGGAGCCUGCCGGUUUAAUCGGACUCAACGCCGGAAAUCUCACCGGAUAAGACAGCUGAAUGAUUGCCGGGCUGAAGACUCUGCAUGACUAGCUGAGAAGUGGUGCAUGG